This 577-nucleotide ribosomal RNA is filed under the name Ocyptamus gastrostactus. Its description in RNAcentral is "eukaryotic LSU rRNA". The record is from RNAcentral. Lineage: Eukaryota; Metazoa; Arthropoda; Insecta; Diptera; Syrphidae.
AGUACGUGAAACUGCUUAGAGGUUAAACCCGAUGAACCUGAAUAUCCAUUAUGGAAAAUUCAAUACUAAUAAUACAAUAUAAAUCAUAUUGUAAAAAUAGUGUGCAAUUUUUCCAUAUAAGGACAUUGUAAUCUGUUAAUGUUUUAAAUAUUUAUCAAAAGAUUUUUUACUUAAGUUUAUUCAAAUUGUUUAUUUUAUAAACAACAUAAAAUAAAUGUAUUAAAUCAGAUAAAUCAUUGACAGAUAUAUAAUUAUAACUAGUGCUAAAAUUUUACGGAAUUUUACAAUAAUAAAUGAUUUCGAUUAAUUUAUUUAUUGUUUGCGCUAUUAUGAUUUACAAUGCGAUAGAUUCAGGAUACCUUCGGGACCCGUCUUGAAACACGGACCAAGGAGUCUAACAUAUGUGCAAGUCAUUGGGUAUUUUUAAUAAAACCCAAUGGCAUAAUUAACUUAACUUUUAUAAUGGGAUUAAUUUAUAAUUUGUUAUGAAUUAUUUAUUCAAUCCCGGGGCGUUCUAUAUAGUUAUGUAUAAUAGUAUUUAUAUUAUUUAUACCUCUAACUAGAGCGUACCUUGAGC